UACGUAGGUGGCAAGCGUUGUCCGGAUUUACUGAGCGUAAAGGAUGCGUAGGCGGACAUUUAAGUCAGAUGUGAAAUACCCGAGCUUAACUUGGGUGCUGCAUUUGAAACUGGGUGUCUAGAGUGCAGGAGAGGUAAGUGGAAUUCCUAGUGUAGCGGUGAAAUGCGUAGAGAUUAGGAAGAACACCAGUGGCGAAGGCGACUUACUGGACUGUAACUGACGCUGAGGCAUGAAAGCGUGGGGAGCAAACAGG
This 253-nucleotide ribosomal RNA is filed under the name uncultured bacterium. RNAcentral describes it as "partial 16S ribosomal RNA". It matches the Rfam family "Bacterial small subunit ribosomal RNA", at positions 524 to 776 of the family's 1533-position model. The record is from RNAcentral.